GGCCGAUCAGUGAGGAAGUUGCCACAGUUCUGGCCAUCAGCACGGAAAUAGUUGUUAGCAUUGUUCCCUGGGACACCAGCUGGAGUCUGUUGGCUGGCAUCUACAGGUGCAGCAGCAGGGGUGGGCUUCUGAGCAGGUCCAUUGCUCGCAACAUGUCCCAAGUUUUGAGGAGGAGCUGCAACGUUAUUAUUAGUUGGUUUUGGAGCCUCUCCACUUCCAAAAAGGUAUCCCAAAGAACUCUGCCCUCCACCACUGCUUACUCCACGACCCAUUAUAUCAAUUCCAACUGUUAUAUGAAAAAAUCUAGGGUCCGCAAAUGGUUUUUUG
This 327-nucleotide unclassified non-coding RNA is filed under the name Hevea brasiliensis (rubber tree). Lineage: Eukaryota; Viridiplantae; Streptophyta; Magnoliopsida; Malpighiales; Euphorbiaceae. The record is from RNAcentral.